RNA transcript from Panicum virgatum (switchgrass), 1611 nucleotides. It is a transcript of the gene named NADPH-dependent aldo-keto reductase, chloroplastic-like, with no coding region annotated. Lineage: Eukaryota; Viridiplantae; Streptophyta; Magnoliopsida; Poales; Poaceae. The transcript is spliced from 6 exons. The record is from RefSeq and is a predicted model, not a curated record.
GCACGUCAGUCCGUGGCAGUUUCCGUCUCUAGUCUUUCACCCCUCCCCGUCGGUCUCGGGUUCUCGGCGGCGGAGAGGAAAGCGAGGUAGGAGAUGGCCACCUAUUUCAUGCUCAACACCGGCGCCCGCAUCCCCUCGGUGGGGCUCGGCACCUACAAGGCCGGCCCCGGCGUCGUCGGCGACUUGAUCGCCGCCGCCGUCAAGGCCGGGUACCGGCACAUCGACUGUGCGCGCCUGUACAACAACGAGAAGGAGUACCUUCUUGUGUCCCCCGCCCUAGAUUGGUGUUGCUCUGAAGAAAGUCUUCGAUGACGGCGUCGUCAAGCGAGAAGACCUGUUCAUCACCUCCAAGAUAUGGUAGUAUACUUCCUUGGAGUUGACCCUGAAGCCUCAGGGUAUUGAUUCCCUAGCCAAUUUAUCAUUAUGUCCAUCAAUCUCGUAACAACCGGAGAAUCAAGCUUUGCAGGUGCAGCGACCUCGCACCCGAAGACGUUCCGCUGGCAAUCGACAGCACUCUGAAUGUUUUGCAGCUGGAUUACCUUGAUCUCUAUCUGAUUCAUUGGCCCUUUCAGAUAAAGAAAGGCAGUGAAGUUAGUCCUGAGAACUUUGUCCAGUUUGAUAUGCCCAAGACUUGGCAAGCAGUGGAGAAGCUGUACGAUUCAGGCAAAGCUCGCGCGGUCGGCGUGAGCAACUUUACGUCGAAGAAGCUGGCCGAUUUGCUUGCUAUAGCCCGUGUUCCUCCCGCCGUUAAUCAGGUGGAGUGCCACCCCGGCUGGCAACAGGCGAAACUCAGAGCGUUCUGCCACUCCACUGGAGUUCAUUUCUCUGCGUAUGCGCCUCUGGGAAGGAUGAAAGUUGUUGCGAAUAAUCCGGUGGUGACAUCAAUAGCCGAGCUCUUGGGGAAGACUCCGGCGCAGGUUGCCCUACGGUGGGGAAUUCAACAGGGUCAGAGCGUGCUUCCUAAAAGUGCCAAUGAGUCAAGGUUGAAGGAGAACAUUGGCCUGUUUGGUUGGUCUAUUCCUGACGAACUGUGUGCCAAGUUUUCUGAAGUUGAACAGGUUAAGCAGAUCAGAAACGAUUCAUUUGUGCACCCUCAGAGUAUGUACAAAACAAUUGAGGAGCUGUGGGACGGUGAGAUCUAAAUGAAAAUCAUCACCGUUAUGAAAUCAAAUCCGUGACAAGAGUUAACAUUCAUGCCAUGAAAUUGGCACACUUUUUACCUUUGGAGGGAAAAAUAAUGAAAUAGGAGGCAUCAUGCUGUCGUUGUGAAGUUCGUUCAGAAAGAAACGAGCAUGGCGCGGAUUCUGUUGCAUUUUUUACAGGAUUAAGUCAUAUUAGCAUUGUUUUUUUUAGCAAGUCAUGUCAGCAUUGUUGCAUGGUCUGCCUGAAGAUCCAGUGGUGAGGCUAGGAACAAAGCAUAGAACAAACAAAUUUACAACAACUCUCUUUUCUUUUCUGUUCUAGUGCACGUUGUUUAUCGAUGCCUCAAUAGCUUUGGUCGUAGUUUUUUAAACAAUUGAAAAACCCCGGCCUGUGGGUUUCCACUCGGCCUUGGGCAUGUAAGCUUUUUCAUUCUUCUGCUUAAUACAAUGAAGCUCUCCUUCAUAUUCC